UGCAAGUCGAGGGGCGAUCGGGAGGGAAGCUUCGCUUCCUUGCCGGCGACCGGCGCACGGGUGAGUAACACGUAUGCAACCCGCCCUCUUCAGGGGGACGAACCUUCCGAAAGGAGGCUAAUCCCGCGUAUAUCGGUUUCGGGCAUCCGAGAUCGAGGAAAGAUUCAUCGGAAGAGGAUGGGCAUGCGGCGCAUUAGCUUGACGCGGGGUAACGGCCCACCGUGGCGACGAUGCGUAGGGGUUCUGAGAGGAAGGUCCCCCACACUGGUACUGAGACACGGACCAGACUCCUACGGGAGGCAGCAGUGAGGAAUAUUGGUCAAUGGGGGAGAUCCUGAACCAGCCAAGCCGCGUGAGGGAAGACGGCCCUAUGGGUUGUAAACCUCUUUUGUCGGAGAACAAAACCCGGGACGUGUCCCGGACUGCGUGUAUCCGAAGAAAAAGCAUCGGCUAACUCCAUG
This 461-nucleotide ribosomal RNA is filed under the name uncultured Bacteroidales bacterium. Its description in RNAcentral is "bacterial SSU rRNA". It matches the Rfam family "Bacterial small subunit ribosomal RNA", at positions 56 to 507 of the family's 1533-position model. Lineage: Bacteria; Pseudomonadati; Bacteroidota; Bacteroidia; Bacteroidales. The record is from RNAcentral.